Molecule: ribosomal RNA, 361 nt
Filed under: Pantoea sp.
Lineage: Bacteria; Pseudomonadati; Pseudomonadota; Gammaproteobacteria; Enterobacterales; Erwiniaceae
Description: bacterial SSU rRNA
Rfam family: Bacterial small subunit ribosomal RNA
Source: RNAcentral
GUGACGAGUGGCGGACGGGUGAGUAAUGUCUGGGGAUCUGCCCGAUAGAGGGGGAUAACCACUGGAAACGGUGGCUAAUACCGCAUAACGUCGCAAGACCAAAGAGGGGGACCUUCGGGCCUCUCACUAUCGGAUGAACCCAGAUGGGAUUAGCUAGUAGGCGGGGUAAUGGCCCACCUAGGCGACGAUCCCUAGCUGGUCUGAGAGGAUGACCAGCCACACUGGAACUGAGACACGGUCCAGACUCCUACGGGAGGCAGCAGUGGGGAAUAUUGCACAAUGGGCGCAAGCCUGAUGCAGCCAUGCCGCGUGUAUGAAGAAGGCCUUCGGGUUGUAAAGUACUUUCAGCGGGGAGGAAGGC